UAUUCUGCCCCACGGGGAAGGAUGAGAAGCUUCGACUAAGGUUCGACUCGAGCGUAGCGAGAGAACGUUGCCGCAGGCAACGGCCCGAAGGGCGAGGCGCUUUAGCGCCGAGUAACCCUUCCCCCACCACCA
RNAcentral lists this small RNA (132 nucleotides) under Klebsiella quasipneumoniae subsp. similipneumoniae. RNAcentral describes it as "RtT sRNA". It matches the Rfam family "RtT RNA". From Rfam's summary of the family: This family represents a bacterial cis-regulatory element known as RtT RNA. The exact function of RtT is unknown although it is thought that it may be involved in changing the cellular response in relation to amino acid starvation. The record is from RNAcentral. Lineage: Bacteria; Pseudomonadati; Pseudomonadota; Gammaproteobacteria; Enterobacterales; Enterobacteriaceae. RNAcentral also lists the same sequence under 1 other name.